AGGAUCUCUGUGAGUUCAGGACC
Molecule: non-coding RNA, 23 nt
Filed under: Cricetulus griseus (Chinese hamster)
Lineage: Eukaryota; Metazoa; Chordata; Mammalia; Rodentia; Cricetidae
Source: RNAcentral